RNAcentral lists this ribosomal RNA (444 nucleotides) under uncultured bacterium. RNAcentral's name for it is "bacterial SSU rRNA". It matches the Rfam family "Bacterial small subunit ribosomal RNA", at positions 355 to 794 of the family's 1533-position model. The record is from RNAcentral.
UGAGGAAUAUUGGGUCAAUGGACGAAAGUCUGAACCAGCCAUGCCGCGUGAAGGAAUAAGGCCCUAUGGGUCGUAAACUUCUUUUGUAUGUGAGCAAUAAGGUCCACGAGUGGUCCGAUGAGAGUAGCAUACGAAUAAGCAUCGGCUAACUCCGUGCCAGCAGCCGCGGUAAUACGGAGGAUGCAAGCGUUAUCCGGAUUUAUUGGGUUUAAAGGGUGCGUAGGCGGAAGUGCAAGUCAGCGGUGAAAUCCCCGCGCUCAACGCGGGAGUUGCCGUUGAUACUGUACAUCUGGAAUGCUCUUGCCGUGGGAGGAAUGAGUAGUGUAGCGGUGAAAUGCAUAGAUAUUACUCAGAACACCGAUUGCGAAGGCAUCUCACGAAGGGGCGAUUGACGCUGAGGCACGAAAGCGUGGGGUAUCGAACAGGAUUAGAUACCCUGGUAGU